RNAcentral lists this long non-coding RNA (8566 nucleotides) under Sus scrofa (pig). Its description in RNAcentral is "lncRNA (ENSSSCG00035052006.1)". The stretch from base 1 to 54 matches the Rfam family "Small nucleolar RNA SNORD107", at positions 21 to 74 of the family's 74-position model. The record is from RNAcentral. Lineage: Eukaryota; Metazoa; Chordata; Mammalia; Artiodactyla; Suidae.
CUUGUCUGAACAUGGUGAUUUCACAUUUUGAGCUUAAAAGGAUACCCUGAAAUCCAGUCAAUGUGCCUCACUAGACUUUUCAGAGAAUAUUAUUCUUGACAGAAAAUGUUGGCUUGAUAUGUGAAAACUUAGUUAGAAAUGGCAGGUGUAGUAGUACACUUUGCCAGUUCUUCAAAUACCUAUUUUUUUCCCUUUUCAUAGGUUUGUGUGAGCUAAUUCUUUUUUUUCUCUUUUUCUCUUACACUAUAUAUACACACACGUGUGUGUAUAUAUGUGUGUGUGUGUGUGUUUGUGUGUGUAUGUACCCACAAACACUGUUCAAAACAAAAAUGGAGGCUCGUCCUUGGAUCUCAGAAGGCCGCAAGUGGUGACAUGGAAACAAAGACAUGUAAAAAGCAGAUCACCACCUCUUACAGCAAACAUUGAGUGACAAAGUUCUAAAUAUCUAAGUGAUGUCCAAAAGAAUAUUUAUGGAACAUUUUAAGAAGACGGUGAGUGUGAGAUUUGAAACGUGAUGCCAACUAGAAGGUGAGGAAUUGGCUAUCUAUCAUUCAUGGACAUGAAUGGAGCCUAAGAAAGAUGGACAAGGAUUUCAUCCAGAAACUUUAAGAUUCUUUUUUUGUGCAUGAUAGGUACUGAUCAGACUCCAUUAAAUAGCUGUUUUGGAGAUACCUUUCAUAUUGGAACUUCUGACUGGCUCCUCAUUUUCUAGCUUCAGAUUCUCUAAUUCAUCUGUCUGCCAGUGGGAAAGAAGAUGAACCACAUCACACUCUUCAUAAAUCUGCAGUUGACAUAUUUAAAAAGUUAAUUAGAAAUAAGCAAUAAUCAGGGAAGAGGACAAAGAUUAUAUAAGUUGAUAUUGAGAGCAUCUUUUGUCACUGUCGAAACUGAAAAAUUUUCAUGUUUAUUUACUGAACAUUUGGAUUCAUAAAUUUCAGACAUUUCUUUAAACCUUUGGUCCAUAGGAACCUCAAGAAAUUUACACAGCAAGAUACAAGAUGAUUGCAACCCAGAAUGAUUUAGGGUAGUUUUGCAAACCUUUUUUCUGUUAACAUAGUUAAGGAGAUUUUUCUGGAGUAUCCUGAGAAGUUUUGCUUGUGGACUGCUAGAGAAGUUUGCACCUCAUGCCAAUUUAAGGGGUCCUUGGCCAGGCCUAUCCUGUAAAGACAUUCUUUAGAUCUUUUUGUCCUGAAUUCAUUUGCCUGAUCUAACAGCAGCAGGAGAACAUCUCUCACACCAGUUUUCUCCCCAAGAUGGCAGUGUGUGAAGGGUAUCUACUGAAUUGAAAAUUAUUUGGGCUGGGUAAAACUUGAAGUGCUGGGCUAUUCUGGACAAUCUCAAGUAAACAUAAGCCAACCUUGUAGAUAUAUGUGGACAGGAAGCUAAGGAUAAUACAUUUUAAAUUCAGCUAGAAGCUUUCAUUAGCUACAAAAUUAUAGACAAAAUAAAAAUUUAUAUUCGCCUAAAGCAGCUUCUUGAUUCAGAUAUUUACAUUUCCUUAGUUAUCUUUGGAUUUGGGGUGGAGUAAGAAUGUUUUCCUUGCUGUGUGUGGAAUAUCAAGCUAACUUCAAAAGAUUUACUGGUAAAAGCCCUAUAUAAAUAUAAAUGGUAGUUGUAUGCAUAUGUGAUAAACAAAUCUUAUUCCCUACCCUCUUGGCAUUUUAAAACAAUUUGGAAUCAAAUCCUGUUAAGUAAUUUACUGGACAUAUAUAUCUUAUGAAUUUAUUUAAAUAUUUAGGAAAUUGUGUUUGGGUAAUGGUAUCGAAAUUAAAAUAUAAAAUACUCAGUGAAUGAUUAAUACAUGUGAACUGUUCAUUGGACAUUAUAGAGAGAAUGAAAUUCAAUAUGUAAUAGUUUAUAUUAUUGUAUUUUAUUCUUUACUCAGUCUUUUUUUAUAAAAAAAUAUUAUUUUUAGAUACUUUUGAAAAUGAAAAUUGUGAUAGUAGAACUUAUUUCCUAAAGAAGUUUUACAAACCUUUUACAUGUUUGGUAAAAUUCUCUUCUGGAAACACUUUUAGAAGGGGAUUCCGAGAACAUUUUGUAAGCUAUGAAGAAUUCUAUAUUGUUUAUGGAUAGCAGAAAAGAGAUAGACAUGGGAACAUUUAAUACAUCAAUCAGAAAAGCAAAGGAAGGUACUAGUUAUUGUUUAUAUGAAAUAACCAAAUAUAUUUGCUUUGUGACAUUUGUUAAUGUAUUGCAAAUGCUAACAAGGAGUUUGGUAAAACAUAUAGAAUAAUUAUUUUUAUUACAUGAUUAUAGAAGUGCUAUUGUUAGAAUGUACAUCUGAGUAAUGUACAUUUGAAAUCAUUUGAUUGGAUUAUUGCUUUUGGUUUUUGGUGGAGGGGAAUGUCCUGUAUGUAACUGUCACAUAAAUUUUAUUAAGUCUGCUCUAACUGAAUAUAGAUAUUAUCCUGUAAAUGGUCAUUAUGUUAAAAUUUGUAUGGGGCGAUAUUACCUUAUUGUGGAACUUUUGCACAAUGAACACUUGCCUGUUAAGGCUUUAGUGGUCCGUUAUAUUGGUUUGUAUAUGUAAUAGAAAAGGUACUCUGUUACAAUCCCAUCAGUAAUAGAGAGGACUGACAUUUGAGGCAUUUCAGUUAUUAUAAUGUAGUGUUGAUUACUGAGACAAAUGUCUAGACGACUACAGAUUAGGCAAAUAAAAGCUAGAUAGAGAAUAGAAAAUUUCGAUGUUUGUAUAUAUGCAUACGCACAGAGACAUUUAAAAGGGCACUAAGGCUUUAUUCUCAGAUAUUGGGAAUCUAUGACUAUUCUAUAAAUAAUCUAAUGUUUGGUUGGUAGUUUUUUUUUUUGCCAGUGGAAUUGUUAAAUUAUCUCUCCAUAUUAUCUCAUUUUCUGGUAGAAAUUGUUAAAACUUUUUGUUACAAUGUUAAUUUUUUCUUUAACCUCUAUAGUUUUCUACAUGUAUAAACAUUAUAAAUACAUAUCACUCUAAUAGUAUAGAAAUAUUUCUAUUUGGCAAAAGAGAUGUUCCAUCUAGCCUCUCAUUGUAAUCAUUGGGUACAUCAUUAGGCUGAAUUUAUAGGUUAUGAGAAUUUCAUUGUGUAGUGCCUGGUAUAAAUAUAUCAUUGCUUUAUGACAGGAUUCCUUAUGAUGAAAACAUCACUGGACUGCUUAUUUGUGGUUUUUGGAUAUGUGUGUAUACAAAUAGAAUAUAACACUUUGAGUAACAUAAAAAUCUCUGCAUUUGAUAAAAUAGCAUAGCUUAGAAAAAUUUUCAGGGGUCAGUGGAAUUUGACUUUUGAUGAAAAUAGUGAAUUGCUUUAAAACACUUUUUUUCUAGUUGUAGGGAAAUUUACAAAUUUAUAGAGAAUUUACAAGUUUUAUGGGUGAUGUUAGCCAUGAUCCAGCAGACCUGAGUACACUAAAUAGUGGCUUGAUCAAGAGAAUGUUUUUGCGUUAUGUGUAUUCAAUAGACACCACUGCUAUGCUUUUUAAGCAUAGAAAUGAUUAUUUCUGUGUGUUUUAGCUAUACAUAGAAGUAAACAGUUCCUUAAUGAUUGUCAGAUUAUUUCUGAGUAGAUAAUUUGGCAGCUGAAGUGUGCUCUUUUAGAUGGUCGUGAAUAAAAUAGAAUAUAUGAUGGUUUUUGCUUUACACUUAUCAGGAUUUCUUACAUAUAAAUAUGUAUACAUGGACAUUUGUGUGGAAUAGAUGUGUUCAUUAAAAGGCAUAGUAUAGAAUUUUUUUUGACCCAAUUAUCUUAGCUUUAGUCUAUGUUCUUUGGGUUGUUUGGUCAGAAGUUUUUUCCAGUCUAUUAGAGGAUAUUGUGAGGCUGCUAGAUAUGUGGUAGACAAAUUUAGUGUUUUUUUCUUAUGAUACCUACAAAGGACCUGCUGAUUGAGGUAUAUAUAUUGUGAGUACCAAACUGAUAGACGAAAGUGAAAACAGUAUUUUGGUAAAUUGGAUUGCUAAACUAUGUCUAUUUGAGAUGUUUGGUUGCUUGCUGAGGAUUAUGUUAGUAAUUUGUUUUCUAUAUAGAGACAUACAUUUGAUAAAACAUUUUUGGUUAUAUAAUUUCUGUCAGUAAUUUUAGAAAUAUCUUUUAAAAUGUUAAAGUUAACAGUCAUUGAUUUUAGAGUAAGCAUAUUUAUAAAUUAGGCUUCAUACUGACUUUAACCUAGGUAUUUCGAAACUCUGUCUUCACAUACACACAAACAAACAGAAUUAAUAUUUUAAUGUAGAAAUAAUACCGAAAAAUAUUUUUAUUGUUGUGGCCACAUUGGUGGGAGAAAAAUAUCAAUAGAAGUGUUACAUGACAUCUAUGUGUUUACACAUUGUCAGGGUUGUAAUUCUGUGCAUGUGAUCAAAUUUUUGUUUUUAUACCACAUUAUUCUAUAGCUGUCCAUAAAUUUCUAUCAUAGUUUUGAAUAUUUGCCUAAAACUAAUAGCACAUAAUCAUUUUUUUUUUGUUUGUAGAAAUGUAAUGGUACACUAAGCCUCACAGUUGUAGAAUGUGACUUUUAGACUGAUGUUAUACAUAGUUAUGUUAAAAACACAUUUUUUUCUAGAUAUAGACAUUUCUGAUACUCAUAUACUUUUUAUUUAUGGAACAUGUAGAUAUAACUUAAUUUCCAAGAUGUGUUGUGGCUCAUGAUGCAAUUCAUUUUUCUGCAGAACAUUUUAUAGAAAUGUUUCUGAGUUUGUUACCUGGCAAUAACCAAGAAAAUUUUGUAAAUAAGCAGCAAGAGAAAUAUUUUGUUUUAAACAACUAGUAUUUCUAAAUGGAUUGAGAGUCUCAAAAGGUAUAAUUUUGUAAAUACUGCAUUGUAAGUAUGUUAAUCUUUUAAAAUUAAUGACAUGAAAUUGACAAACAGGGCCUGGAGUUUUGCAAAAUUUGUCAUGUGUUUGUUUGGUGGUUACGAGGAAACAUUGACAAGAUUAUGCAUUUACCCUGUUCUCAUAUAGGAAAAUAAUUUGCCAUUUUAUCAAGUAUGUGUAUUUAAAAACUACACCAUGUAAAACUAUACCAUUUAAAAACCUAUGCCAUUUAAAUUUAUUUGGGCAAAAUUUAGGGGAACAUACAGGGGUUUUCCAUUUACUCCCUGUCCCAACGCAUAUAUAAAUCCUCCUCUGUUAUCAACCCAACACAUGCAUAAUUCACCCGCAUUAUCAAAUGCCCCAUCAAAAUAGUACAUUUGCUACAUUGAUGAACCUAAGUUGACACAUCAUGUCACAAAUCACCCAAAGUCCAUCCUUUACAUUAUGAUUAACUUAGUAUUGUACAUUCUGUGGCUUAGACAGAUGUAUAAUGAACAUAUAUUCAUCAUUAUCACACCAUACAUGUUAAUAAGUGACUUGGUUAAAAAGAUUUUAUACUACCUCUUGGAACUAUACACAGUUCUGUAUGUGUUCCCUUUGUUGCAUGACAAUAUUCAAGACAACUUUGUAAAUAGGCAGAUAUGAGUUUUUAAUUUUUAACAUCUGGUCUUUCUAGAUGUAUAGUCUCACAAAGUACAAUUUUGUAAAUAAUUAAUUGUAAAGUUUCAUGGUUUAUUUCUUCACCUACCAGUGAAAUUGAUACACUUGUGGAUUUCAUGAGUUACACAUAUUUUGGAAUCUGUUUCUUGAUUUGUUACAGCAAAGCAGAGGUUAAAAGGGCAGUUUUUCAUUUUUGCCUUCUCAGCUGAAAGAAAAUUUUACAUUUUAAUUACUCAGUGCUUAGAUUUUAUUUUAUUUGUAGUUGUAUUGCUGAUAGGAAAUUAUAUUUCAAUCAUAAGAAAUGUGUAUUUAAAAAUUUUAUUCACUCUGAAUUAAUAUAGUUUGGUAUUUAUUCGGACUGCAUAACACCAUUCAAGACAAUUUUGUAAAUAAUAGGAAAUAUGUCAUUAAAAAGGCUACUUUUUCUAUAUGCAUGGAAUUUCAUGAGUAUAAAUUUGUAAAUAUCUAAUUGUAAAAUAUCAUAAAUUGGCUUCUAUAAAUGUUUUAACAACUUAGGUAAUUAAUAAUUGGGCUUUUAAGUCUUUGUAACAUUUUUGUGUUUAUGCCACGGGCUUUCUAAGGAUAUCAUUAUGUUCUCAUGCAUAAAAAAUGUUGAGAUUAUACACUUUUAACAAACAAAAUGUCCUUGGGAUUUAAUUUCUCUUUAAGAAGUAAAAGAGACAGGAGAAGGUAAUUGUCCUUUUAAACUAUAGAUUUAUUUAUAGUUAUAUAACUCUGCUAAAAUAACUGCUAUUUUGAUAUGCCAUAUAAAGCUACUGUUUGAAAAGCAAGUAUAGAAGCCUUCCUUGUGUAAUAUAUAAAGGAAUAUUAAUUUUUAUAUAAAACAGUUAAGCUGUAACAUUUCUGUUAUGUUUAUUUAAAUACAUCUAUCCAAAAACAAAAUUUUUGUUGGGAAUAUAUCUGCUAUUAAUUGAAGUGUAAAUAAAUAUAUCGUUUUGAAUAGCAGUUUGGCAAUCAAUCAAAAUUUGUGUAAAACUUUUGAAUUGUUGGAAUUUGCUGAUUACAUUUUAUCUAUUCCUACUCAAGUAAUAUAAAGAAGAAAGUAUGUUAUAGGUUGAGUGUAAGACUAAUGAUAGCUUAUUCAUAUGGAUAUCAUUGAAAAACACUGAAAUAUUCUGAUAUUGAAGGAUGUUUUAAGUUGAUUUUUAAAAUUGUCAGUUUUGAAGAAAGGUCAACUAAAUAUGUAUAAGAGGUCUGUCCAUGUGCCUCUGGUUUCCUGAUUUAAAUAUUCAUUGUUAUUACUGGAAAAUGGGGCUGUCUAGAUACAAUAAUGUGAAGAAAUGCUUACUUAUUUGUGUUACUAUAAUGGCAUUCUUCUUGAAAUUUUUGUACAUGUUUAAACACUAAAACAAUGUUUAUAACUUUGUAUAUUGCUAUGUGACAAUCUAAAAUGCAUAUAGGGGUUAUUGUAGAGAAACUUGCCUGAAAAAACAUGGCAAAAUUUUAACAUUACUGUAUAAAGAGAUGAGAAAUUAAGGGUCUGCUGCUACUUUCCCACAUUUGUAAUUUUAAAGGUGUUUCAAAAGCAACGUUUAAACAACGAAGGGAAUUCUAGAGAUAUAAUUGAUUUGUGCCUGUCCUGAUUGUUGCCUAUUGACAUCUUGGGAAUGUUGGGCUGUUGUAUCCAACUUUGUAUCCUCAGUGGCUGUAAUGAAUAGUUUUGAGUGAUCAUGAAGAACCUGUGACAUAGACUAGUGCAGCAGAGUUACCCAGCGAAAUAAAGACUGUUGGGUUACCGAAGGAAAGAAGAAGAAAGAAGACAGGAUUUGAGGUGAACAUGGUAAAAAAUGACACACUUGCAUAUAACCUGAGGAUAGCUGGCAUCAGGAACAUCCUUAUGCAACUAUGCCUAUGGAGUUCUUAUUCUUAUGCAAACAUGCCUAUGGAGUUCUUUCAUUUAUAAAUUUCAAAUUUAAACCACAGGUGAUGACAGUUACAAGAAAACAUACUUUUGCCACUUUUGUUUUUAAAUCUCAGUAAUUGGUACCACCAGACCUGUUGCAGUAUUCUCAUUCCAAGUGUUCUUCACUCCCAUCUUUGGACCCUGGAGAAGCCCUUGGCCAUCAUAAUCUGUGUCCUUUAGGUGAUGAUUGAUUAGGAUACUGAUCACUUCUGCAACCAUCUUCACUAAAAACCAAAAGACAGUCUUCAUAAUGUAUGUAGACUCGGCAUUGAUGUGUUACAAUAGACACUCCCUGUAGAUCAGAAAAACUGGACUUAGAAGGCUCAAGUUCGAAAGUGACGUGAAGGAUGUUAUUGGAGAGAAUUGUAACCAGGCAUGUUGAGAGAUUUCAAUUGUUGCCAUUGGACUAAAUCUCAGGAGCUUUACUGAUGGAGGCAUCAUUACAUGGAGAAGAUCAGCAUGGAGUGAUUGCAAGGCUUCGUUUCAGUGCUCUCAUAAACAUUAGGUUCUUGUAUUUAAAAUUUUAACUUAUCACAGGGAAAUUUAAAAUUGAUUCAUAAAAAAUCGUCUUUUUCAAGAUCUCAAAGGACAUGGAAAUUUGUGAAGUAUGUUUUUACUUUGCCUUUUCCUAAUUCUAUACAUCCUUUCUAGUGUAUUGAUAAAUUAAUAUGCAAGUCAUUUGGGGGUCUCUAUAUUGGCUAUAGAUUUUUCUUUGCCGUAAGUAUGACUUACUGAUAAAUUGUAAUUUGCCUGAAUAAUUUGUUGAAAUAGUUCCAGUGAAGUAGAACUGCUACUUCUGAAGAUAUCCAAAAUUUAUAUUUUGAGUUCAAUCUACAGAUUUCUCCCAACUGUAUAGAUGGGUCCUCAUCAGUCUUGUUCCCCAGGGUCUAUAUCCCAAAAUUAUACAAGUAUUAGCUGUUUAAUCUUUGGUAAUGUGAGAUUAUACAGAAAUUGCUUUUCUCUGUUGUUUAGCUUGGUCAUCUUCAUGUUAUGCUUAAUCUUUACUGGUCACUUGUGUUAUUUCAUUUUCCUUUUUUUUUCAUUUCCCUUGGAAUAUUAAUGUCUGUGUUACUGAUUUCUAAGAAAUCAUUUAUAAUUAAGGAUGUGAACCAUUUGUCAUGCAUCGGGAAUGAAAUACUGUGUAUUUAUGCCACUAGUUUACUAUGGUGUUCUGUAUUUUGGUUGUGUAUUAAAAUAUAAUUGUG